AUGGCAAACUCCAGCAAAAAGGGGAAAGCAUAGAGGACUCCUCCGAAGUGGUGUGGCCAGGCGAAACAACACUUCCAGGAAUUCGGUCUGAAGCAAAGCACUAAGUAUCCUGUAGGUAAACGGGAUGCGUACGCCCCGAAGGAGACCAAGCUUGGAAAACGCGUCCCUCGUCUCGCUGAGGGUCCGGCAGCAAGCUGGAGAACUGCUCCGUAUGGCAGUUCGCACCGAAUGUAAUCAUGCCAGUACUUGAGACCCCGGAGGGUGAGGCAACCAAUCAUUGUGGUCUCUCCAUGGUCGGGUGAAGCCGUCCGCCACAUGAGUGUCUCAUCCCGCAGACAUUCUGCCACAAAUGAUGAAUACUUGUCCAGAAGCUAUAGAUAGUGAUCCUACGUGAGAUCUGACUGCAGUCCGUAGUGGGCAACCGGUGAUAAGUCCAUGCCGGAAGGUAGCGAGCAAUACUACUUCCUCCGGACUCCAGGGUCCAGGCCAAAGUUGGUUGUGGUCCAAAACUCCUAGGUAGGCCAGGUGCCCCUAUGUCGGAGUCAUCAAUUAAGUUUUAGAUGAGCU
Molecule: non-coding RNA, 567 nt
Organism: Pelobates cultripes (western spadefoot toad)
Lineage: Eukaryota; Metazoa; Chordata; Amphibia; Anura; Pelobatidae
Source: the annotation of a GenBank genome assembly